ACGGCUCAGUAACACGUGGGUGACCUGCCCUCGAGCGGGGGAUAACUGCCCGAAAGGGUGGCUAAUACCGCAGACCUCCGGGCUUCGGUGUUCGGAGUGAACCUUCGGGGUUCGAGGAGGGGCCCGCGGCCGAUUAGCUGGCUGGUGGGGUAACGGCCUACCAGGGCGACGAUCGGUAGCUGGUCUGAGAGGAUGAUCAGCCAGACUGGGACUGCGAACGGCCCAGACUCCUACGGGAGGCAGCAGUUAGGAAUUUUGGGCAAUGGGCGAAAGCCUGACCCAGCAACGCCGCGUGGGUGAUGAAGGCCCUCGGGUCGUAAAGCCCUUUUCCCAGGGAAGAUGAUGACGGUACCUGGGGAAUCAGCCCCGGCUAACUACGUGCCAGCAGCCGCGGUAAUACGUAGGGGGCAAGCGUUGUCCGGAUUUAUUGGGCGUAAAGCGCUCGCAGGUGGUCCGUCGCGUCGUGUGUGAAAGACCCCGGCUCAACUGGGGAGGGUCAUGCGAUACGGACGGACUGGAGGCCAGUAGGGGGAUGCGGAAUUCCGGGUGUAGUGGUGGAAUGCGUAGAGAUCCGGAGGAACACCAGCGGCGAAGGCGGCAUCCUGGACUGGUCCUGACACUCAGGAGCGAAAGCGUGGGGAGCGAUCCGGAUUAGAUACCCGGGUAGUCCACGCUGUAAACGAUGCGCACUAGGUGUCGGGGGUAUCGACCCCCUCGGUGCCGCAGCUAACGCGAUAAGUGCGCCGCCUGGGGACUACGGCCGCAAGGCUAAAACUCAAAGGAAUUGGCGGGGGAGCAC
Molecule: ribosomal RNA, 799 nt
Filed under: uncultured Chloroflexota bacterium
Lineage: Bacteria; Bacillati; Chloroflexota
Description: bacterial SSU rRNA
Rfam family: Bacterial small subunit ribosomal RNA
Source: RNAcentral